RNAcentral lists this ribosomal RNA (549 nucleotides) under uncultured bacterium. Its description in RNAcentral is "bacterial SSU rRNA". It matches the Rfam family "Bacterial small subunit ribosomal RNA", at positions 355 to 896 of the family's 1533-position model. The record is from RNAcentral.
UGGGGAAUUUUGGACAAUGGGCGCAAGCCUGAUCCAGCCAUGCCGCGUGUCUGAAGAAGGCCUUCGGGUUGUAAAGGACUUUUGUCAGGGAAGAAAAGGCUGUUGCUAAUAUCGACAGCUGAUGACGGUACCUGAAGAAUAAGCACCGGCUAACUACGUGCCAGCAGCCGCGGUAAUACGUAGGGUGCGAGCGUUAAUCGGAAUUACUGGGCGUAAAGCGAGCGCAGACGGUUACUUAAGCAGGAUGUGAAAUCCCCGGGCUCAACCUGGGAACUGCGUUCUGAACUGGGUGACUAGAGUGUGUCAGAGGGAGGUAGAAUUCCACGUGUAGCAGUGAAAUGCGUAGAGAUGUGGAGGAAUACCGAUGGCGAAGGCAGCCUCCUGGGAUAACACUGACGUUCAUGCUCGAAAGCGUGGGUAGCAAACAGGAUUAGAUACCCUGGUAGUCCACGCCCUAGACGAUGUCAAUUAGCUGUUGGGCAACUUGAUUGCUUAGUAGCGUAGCUAACGCGUGAAAUUGACCGCCUGGGGAGUACGGUCGCAAGAUUA